This 497-nucleotide ribosomal RNA is filed under the name uncultured bacterium. RNAcentral describes it as "partial 16S ribosomal RNA". It matches the Rfam family "Bacterial small subunit ribosomal RNA", at positions 28 to 507 of the family's 1533-position model. The record is from RNAcentral.
GAUGAACGCUGGCGGCGUGCCUAAUACAUGCAAGUCGAGCGAAAAGACGAGGAGCUUGCUCCGCUGACGUGAGCGGCGGACGGGUGAGUAACACGUGGAAAACCUACCUAUAAGACUGGGAUAACUUGGGGAAACCGGAGCUAAUACCGGAUAAUAUAUUGAACCGCAUGGUUCAAUAGAGAAAGACGGUUUUGGUGUCACUUAUAGAUGGAUCCGCGCCGCAUUAGCUAGUUGGUAAGGUAACGGCUUACCAAGGGAACGAUGCGUAGCCGACCUGAGAGGGUGAUCGGCCACACUGGAACUGAGACACGGUCCAGACGCCUACGGGAGGCAGCAGUAGGGAAUCUUCCGCAAUGGGCGAAAGCCUGACGGAGCAACGCCACGUGAGUGAUGAAGGUCUUCGGAUCGUAAAACUCUGUUAUUAGGGAAGAACAAAUGUGUAAGUAACUAUGCACGUCUUGGCGGUACCUAAUCAGAAAGCCACGGCUAACUACGUG